GAUGAACGCUGGCGGCGUGCUUAACACAUGCAAGUCGAACGGAGAUUGCUAAAGGAAGUUUUCGGAUGGAAUUUAGUAAUCUUAGUGGCGGACGGGUGAGUAACGCGUGGGUAACCUGCCUCAUACAGGGGGAUAACACUUAGAAAUAGGUGCUAAAACCGCAUAAGCGCACGAAAUCGCAUGAUUUAGUGUGAAAAACUCCGGUGGUAUGAGAUGGACCCGCGUCUGAUUAGCUAGUGGUGAGGUAACGGCCCACCAAGCGACGAUCAGUAGCCGGCCUGAGAGGGUGAACGGCCACAUUGGGACUGAGACACGGCCCAAAACUCCUACGGGAGGCAGCAGUGGGAACUAUUGCACAAUGGGGGAAACCCUGAUGCAGCGACGCCGCGUGAGUGAAG
RNAcentral lists this ribosomal RNA (398 nucleotides) under uncultured bacterium. Its description in RNAcentral is "bacterial SSU rRNA". It matches the Rfam family "Bacterial small subunit ribosomal RNA", at positions 28 to 410 of the family's 1533-position model. The record is from RNAcentral.